RNAcentral lists this transfer RNA (73 nucleotides) under Rummeliibacillus stabekisii. It matches the Rfam family "tRNA". Rfam says of the family: Transfer RNA (tRNA) molecules are approximately 80 nucleotides in length. Their secondary structure includes four short double-helical elements and three loops (D, anti-codon, and T loops). Further hydrogen bonds mediate the characteristic L-shaped molecular structure. tRNAs have two regions of fundamental functional importance: the anti-codon, which is responsible for specific mRNA codon recognition, and the 3' end, to which the tRNAs corresponding amino acid is attached (by aminoacyl-tRNA synthetases). tRNAs cope with the degeneracy of the genetic code in two manners: having more than one tRNA (with a specific anti-codon) for a particular amino acid; and 'wobble' base-pairing, i.e. permitting non-standard base-pairing at the 3rd anti-codon position. Lineage: Bacteria; Bacillati; Bacillota; Bacilli; Caryophanales; Caryophanaceae. RNAcentral also lists the same sequence under 3 other names. The record is from Rfam by way of RNAcentral.
GGGCGUAUGGCGCAAUUGGCAGCGCACCUGACUCUUAAUCAGGGGGUUGUGGGUUCGACUCCCACUACGCCCA